This 356-nucleotide ribosomal RNA is filed under the name uncultured bacterium. Its description in RNAcentral is "partial 16S ribosomal RNA". It matches the Rfam family "Bacterial small subunit ribosomal RNA", at positions 338 to 708 of the family's 1533-position model. The record is from RNAcentral.
CCUACGGGUGGCAGCAGUGGGGAAUAUUGGGCAAUGGGCGCAAGCCUGACCCAGCAACGCCGCGUGAAGGAAGAAGGCUUUCGGGUUGUAAACUUCUUUUCUCAGGGACGAAGAAAGUGACGGUACCUGAGGAAUAAGCCACGGCUAACAACGUGCCAGCAGCCGCGGUAAUACGUAGGGGGCAAGCGUGAUCCGGAUUGAUUGGGGGUAAAGGGGGUGUAGGUGGGAGAGCAAGUCAGAUGUGAAAACGGCGGGGUUAACCCCGAGACUGCAUGUGAAAUUGUGUUUCUUGAGGACAGGGGAGGGCAGCGGAAGUCGGGGGGUAGAGGUGAAAGGCGGAGAUAGAAGGAAGAACA